This 2923-nucleotide ribosomal RNA is filed under the name Klebsiella quasipneumoniae subsp. similipneumoniae. RNAcentral's name for it is "23S ribosomal RNA". It matches the Rfam family "Bacterial large subunit ribosomal RNA". The record is from RNAcentral. Lineage: Bacteria; Pseudomonadati; Pseudomonadota; Gammaproteobacteria; Enterobacterales; Enterobacteriaceae.
GGGUUGUGAGGUUAAGCGACUAAGCGUACACGGUGGAUGCCCUGGCAGUCAGAGGCGAUGAAGGACGUGCUAAUCUGCGAAAAGCGUCGGUAAGGUGAUAUGAACCGUUAUAACCGGCGAUGUCCGAAUGGGGAAACCCAGUGCAAUUCGUUGCACUAUCGUUAACUGAAUACAUAGGUUAACGAGGCGAACCGGGGGAACUGAAACAUCUAAGUACCCCGAGGAAAAGAAAUCAACCGAGAUUCCCCCAGUAGCGGCGAGCGAACGGGGAGCAGCCCAGAGUCUGAAUCAGCUUGUGUGUUAGUGGAACGGUCUGGAAAGUCCGACGGUACAGGGUGAUAGUCCCGUACACCAAAAUGCACAGGUUGUGAACUCGAAGAGUAGGGCGGGACACGUGGUAUCCUGUCUGAAUAUGGGGGGACCAUCCUCCAAGGCUAAAUACUCCUGACUGACCGAUAGUGAACCAGUACCGUGAGGGAAAGGCGAAAAGAACCCCGGCGAGGGGAGUGAAAAAGAACCUGAAACCGUGUACGUACAAGCAGUGGGAGCACCUUUAUGGUGUGACUGCGUACCUUUUGUAUAAUGGGUCAGCGACUUAUAUUCUGUAGCAAGGUUAACCGUAUAGGGGAGCCGCAGGGAAACCGAGUCUUAACUGGGCGUUAAGUUGCAGGGUAUAGACCCGAAACCCGGUGAUCUAGCCAUGGGCAGGUUGAAGGUUGGGUAACACUAACUGGAGGACCGAACCGACUAAUGUUGAAAAAUUAGCGGAUGACUUGUGGCUGGGGGUGAAAGGCCAAUCAAACCGGGAGAUAGCUGGUUCUCCCCGAAAGCUAUUUAGGUAGCGCCUCGUGAACUCAUCUUCGGGGGUAGAGCACUGUUUCGGCUAGGGGGUCAUCCCGACUUACCAACCCGAUGCAAACUACGAAUACCGAAGAAUGUUAUCACGGGAGACACACGGCGGGUGCUAACGUCCGUCGUGAAGAGGGAAACAACCCAGACCGCCAGCUAAGGUCCCAAAGUCAUGGUUAAGUGGGAAACGAUGUGGGAAGGCACAGACAGCCAGGAUGUUGGCUUAGAAGCAGCCAUCAUUUAAAGAAAGCGUAAUAGCUCACUGGUCGAGUCGGCCUGCGCGGAAGAUGUAACGGGGCUAAACCAUGCACCGAAGCUGCGGCAGCGACACGAUGUGUUGUUGGGUAGGGGAGCGUUCUGUAAGCCUGCGAAGGUGACCUGUGAGGGUUGCUGGAGGUAUCAGAAGUGCGAAUGCUGACAUAAGUAACGAUAAAGCGGGUGAAAAGCCCGCUCGCCGGAAGACCAAGGGUUCCUGUCCAACGUUAAUCGGGGCAGGGUGAGUCGACCCCAAGGCGAGGCCGAAAGGCGUAGUCGAUGGGAAACAGGUUAAUAUUCCUGUACUUGGUGUUACUGCGAAGGGGGACGGAGAAGGCUAUGUUAGCCGGGCGACGGUUGUCCCGGUUUAAGCAUGUAGGCUGGUUAUCCGUGCAAAUCCGGAUAAUCAAGGCUGAGGUGUGAUGACGAGGCACUACGGUGCUGAAGUAACAAAUGCCCUGCUUCCGUGAAAAGCCUCUAAGCAUCAGGUAACAUCAAAUCGUACCCCAAACCGACACAGGUGGUCAGGUAGAGAAUACCAAGGCGCUUGAGAGAACUCGGGUGAAGGAACUAGGCAAAAUGGUGCCGUAACUUCGGGAGAAGGCACGCUGGUGUGUAGGUGAAGUCCCUGCGGAUGGAGCUGAGACCAGUCGAAGAUACCAGCUGGCUGCAACUGUUUAUUAAAAACACAGCACUGUGCAAACACGAAAGUGGACGUAUACGGUGUGACGCCUGCCCGGUGCCGGAAGGUUAAUUGAUGGGGUUAUCCGUAAGGAGAAGCUCUUGAUCGAAGCCCCGGUAAACGGCGGCCGUAACUAUAACGGUCCUAAGGUAGCGAAAUUCCUUGUCGGGUAAGUUCCGACCUGCACGAAUGGCGUAAUGAUGGCCAGGCUGUCUCCACCCGAGACUCAGUGAAAUUGAACUCGCUGUGAAGAUGCAGUGUACCCGCGGCAAGACGGAAAGACCCCGUGAACCUUUACUAUAGCUUGACACUGAACAUUGAGCCUUGAUGUGUAGGAUAGGUGGGAGGCUUUGAAGCGUGGACGCCAGUCUGCGUGGAGCCAACCUUGAAAUACCACCCUUUAAUGUUUGAUGUUCUAACGUUGGCCCCUUAUCGGGGUUGCGGACAGUGUCUGGUGGGUAGUUUGACUGGGGCGGUCUCCUCCCAAAGCGUAACGGAGGAGCACGAAGGUUAGCUAAUCCUGGUCGGACAUCAGGAGGUUAGUGCAAUGGCAUAAGCUAGCUUGACUGCGAGCGUGACGGCGCGAGCAGGUGCGAAAGCAGGUCAUAGUGAUCCGGUGGUUCUGAAUGGAAGGGCCAUCGCUCAACGGAUAAAAGGUACUCCGGGGAUAACAGGCUGAUACCGCCCAAGAGUUCAUAUCGACGGCGGUGUUUGGCACCUCGAUGUCGGCUCAUCACAUCCUGGGGCUGAAGUAGGUCCCAAGGGGUAUGGCUGUUCGCCAUUUAAAGUGGUACGCGAGCUGGGUUUAGAACGUCGUGAGACAGUUCGGUCCCUAUCUGCCGUGGGCGCUGGAGAAUUGAGGGGGGCUGCUCCUAGUACGAGAGGACCGGAGUGGACGCAUCACUGGUGUUCGGGUUGUCAUGCCAAUGGCACUGCCCGGUAGCUAAAUGCGGAAGAGAUAAGUGCUGAAAGCAUCUAAGCACGAAACUUGCCCCGAGAUGAGUUCUCCCUGAGGCUUUAAGUCUCCUGAAGGAACGUUGAAGACGACGACGUUGAUAGGCCGGGUGUGUAAGCGCAGCGAUGCGUUGAGCUAACCGGUACUAAUGAACCGUGAGGCUUAACCUUACAACGCCGAAG